AGCUUUGUGCAGUGGCAGUAUUGUAGCCAAUGAGGUUUAUCCAAGGUGCAAUUAUUGCUAAAUGAAAACUUUUCCCAAUACCCCACCAUGACGACUCGAAAUACAGUGGGCAUUGACAAUUUUUGACAGUCUCUAUGGAGA
Molecule: small nuclear RNA, 141 nt
Organism: Zalophus californianus (California sea lion)
Lineage: Eukaryota; Metazoa; Chordata; Mammalia; Carnivora; Otariidae
Gene: U4
Rfam family: U4 spliceosomal RNA
About the family: U4 small nuclear RNA (U4 snRNA) is a component of the major U2-dependent spliceosome. The structure of U4 snRNA from yeast and human has been reported.
Source: Ensembl